RNAcentral lists this ribosomal RNA (431 nucleotides) under uncultured bacterium. Its description in RNAcentral is "bacterial SSU rRNA". It matches the Rfam family "Bacterial small subunit ribosomal RNA", at positions 355 to 796 of the family's 1533-position model. The record is from RNAcentral.
UCGAGGAUCUUUGGCAAUGGGCGCAAGCCUGACCAAGCGACGCCGCGUGUGCGAUGAAGGCCUUCGGGUUGUAAAGCACUGUCGAGGGGGAGUAAGCCGAAAGGUUGAACUAUCCCUGGAGGAAGCACGGGCUAAGUUCGUGCCAGCAGCCGCGGUAAGACGAACCGUGCGAACGUUGUUCGGAAUCACUGGGCUUAAAGGGCGCGUAGGCGGGUGUGCAAGUCUGUGGUGAAAGCCCCCAGCUUAACUGGGGAAGUGCCGUGGAUACUGCACAUCUUGAGGAGGGUAGGGGCAUCUGGAACGGUCGGUGGAGCGGUGAAAUGCGUUGAUAUCGACCGGAACUCCGGUGGCGAAGGCGAGGUGCUGGACCCUUUCUGACGCUGAGGCGCGAAAGCCAGGGGAGCAAACGGGAUUAGAUACCCCCGUAGUCC